Molecule: unclassified non-coding RNA, 569 nt
Filed under: Hevea brasiliensis (rubber tree)
Lineage: Eukaryota; Viridiplantae; Streptophyta; Magnoliopsida; Malpighiales; Euphorbiaceae
Source: RNAcentral
AUAAGACUUCCUAUACGAUUUUCUCAAUUUCUCCGAUUCAUUUUUUCCGUUCGACGAACUCUCACCGGGAAAAGCAACUCCGUUGCCGGGAAAUACUCUUAUUUGAUAAACGAAUGCUGCAUUAAAUUUGAUCAAUCUAGGGUUUCGGUGAAGAUUGUAGUGAAGCAAUGGCGAAGGGGAGGUUGAAUCGGCAUCAAGGGAAGAGAUCAUCGACAGUGGUUUUAGUGCUUUCGAUGCUUCUGAUGCUAACAGUUGUGCUUCUAAUGCUUCUCGCUCUUGGCAUUUUUAAUCUUCCUGUUGGUUCUGAUGAUGAGUCGCCUUCGACUGUUCAGGAUCACAUCAAGUUCAAGCGGUUCAACUUAGAUAUAGGGGAAGGUGACGGACUGGGGAAAAGAGGGGAACAAUGGACAGAGAUCUUAUCGUGGGAGCCUCGUGCAUUUGUUUACCACAAUUUCUUGUCCAAGGAAGAAUGUGAAUACUUGAUAAAUCAAGCUAAGCCUCACAUGGUGAAGUCAUCAGUUGUUGAUAGCAAGACCGGUCAGAGUAAAGAUAGCAGGGUUCGUACAAGU